GACGAACGCUGGCGGCGUGCCUAAUACAUGCAAGUCGAACGCACUGGGGACGGGUGAGUAACACAUGGGUAACCUCCCAUCAGAGGGGAUAACACUUGGAAACAGGUGCUAAACCGCUAAUGAUGGAUGAACACGCGGUGCAUUAGCUAGUGGGUGAGGUAACGGCUCACCAAGGCCACGAUGCAUAGCCGACCUGAGAGGGGGAGCGGCAACAUUGGGACUGGGAAACGGCCCGAACUCGUCCGGGAGGCAGAAGUAGGGAAUCUUCGGCAAUGGAGGAAAGUCUGACCGGGCAACGCCGCGGAAGUGAAGAAGGUUUUCGGAUCGUAAAACUCUGUUGUUAGAGAAGCGGUAUCUAACCAGAAAGCCACGGCUAACUACGUGCCAGCAGCCGCGGUAAUUC
This 403-nucleotide ribosomal RNA is filed under the name uncultured bacterium. RNAcentral describes it as "partial 16S ribosomal RNA". It matches the Rfam family "Bacterial small subunit ribosomal RNA", at positions 28 to 526 of the family's 1533-position model. The record is from RNAcentral.